This 444-nucleotide ribosomal RNA is filed under the name uncultured bacterium. Its description in RNAcentral is "bacterial SSU rRNA". It matches the Rfam family "Bacterial small subunit ribosomal RNA", at positions 17 to 507 of the family's 1533-position model. The record is from RNAcentral.
UCCUGGCUCAGAACGAACGCUGGCGGCAUGCCUAACACAUGCAAGUCGAACGAGACCUUCGGGUCUAGUGGCGCACGGGUGCGUAACGCGUGGGAAUCUGCCCUUUGCUUCGGAAUAACAGUUAGAAAUGACUGCUAAUACCGGAUGAUGUCUUCGGACCAAAGAUUUAUCGGCAAAGGAUGAGCCCGCGUAGGAUUAGGUAGUUGGUGGGGUAAAGGCCUACCAAGCCGACGAUCCUUAGCUGGUCUGAGAGGAUGAUCAGCCACACUGGGACUGAGACACGGCCCAGACUCCUACGGGAGGCAGCAGUGGGGAAUAUUGGACAAUGGGCGCAAGCCUGAUCCAGCAAUGCCGCGUGAGUGAUGAAGGCCUUCGGGUCGUAAAGCUCUUUUACCAGGGAUGAUAAUGACAGUACCUGGAGAAUAAGCUCCGGCUAACUCCGUG